UACGGAGGAUCCAAGCGUUAUCCGGAUUUAUUGGGUUUAAAGGGUGCGUAGGCGGCCUGUUAAGUCAGGGGUGAAAGACGGUAGCUCAACUAUCGCAGUGCCCUUGAUACUGAUGGGCUUGAAUGUACUAGAGGUAGGCGGAAUGUGACAAGUAGCGGUGAAAUGCAUAGAUAUGUCUCAGAACACCGAUUGCGAAGGCAGCUUACUAUGGUUUUAUUGACGCUGAGGCACGAAAGCGUGGGGAUCAAACAGG
RNAcentral lists this ribosomal RNA (253 nucleotides) under uncultured bacterium. Its description in RNAcentral is "partial 16S ribosomal RNA". It matches the Rfam family "Bacterial small subunit ribosomal RNA", at positions 524 to 776 of the family's 1533-position model. The record is from RNAcentral.